AUCCUAUCGUUCCAGAUAAAGAGGAAGCCCCAAUACCAGGAGAUAGCCAGCCAAGGCCUCCUGGACUCAUAGAGACCUGUGCCGCCUGCGAGGGAGCCCGAGAGAGCUAAGAGAAUCCACAGACCAAGGAACUGUGGAGACGUGGACCUGGAGGAGGCAUGGAAACCUCUGAUCAAAGGCAACUGUUGUCACAGUGAUUGAUGAAAAUUCCAGUGAUGCUCUGAAUUCAGCCUCUAAACCAGCUCAUCGACAUUCCUCUUUGCGGGAGUGUCUUCUAGUUUCCGGUAGAACCCCAACAUGGGAUCACGCUCUCCUGUGAAUGCAUCAGAAGUGGAGCAGCAUUACAGCAGGGACCCACGGGGAACCAGGGAAAGACAGCUGAUUCGGGCUCUGUCUCUCUGAAGAAGACACACUGUUUUCUCUUCCAUGACACCAGCAAGAAAUAUUCCUUAAUGCUAAUUCAGAGAGACUGUGCAUAUUAAUACUCAGUCAUGGCAAAUAGAUGUUAAAAAUCUUUGGUCUUUAUUAAAAAAGAUACAUUUACUACUCAAUCUUGGGCACCAUGGGUUCACUCAGCAUAGUAGAACCAUUUAUUCAUAAUGCACCUCUUCUUUCUGGCAUUAAAUUCAAUGCUGUUCACUAAUGGCAAAAAUGCUUGGCACAAGCAGCAGACCAUAUUCUGUCAAAAAGAGGUCCUUGCAUGACACUAUUCCCAAGAGAUUUGCUUCAGUUAAAAGCAUUUUUCUGUCCUGUGGAUAUUUGUGUACGUGUCUGAUUGAGUGGAAAAAACUGCUGGAGAAAAAUGAGAUCACAAACGUAUGUUUUGGCUGCCAUCAAGUCAAUACAGCAAUAGGUUGGUGAAAACAUCAAAACACAAUCACAGCUGCCGUCAGUGUCUGCUGCAGGCUUCACCGGGCAGUCAGCCAGCCAAGGUCAUUCUUUUACAUCUCAUCAGUGAUCAUGAAGGAAAUAAAUAUGAGGAUCAUGAUUUUUGUCAAAAAGUUGAUGUGGUUGCCCUACAGAAGAUAGUCUCUGAAUACUCUUAUUAAGUAAAUGUGUUCAUUUGACUAGUCGAUAAACUGAAAUGUAACAAUUAGGGAUUGACAAACAGGUGAAUCUGUGUUUGCAAAUAAUUCCCACAGAAAAAUAGGCUACAGUUCCAGACGGACUUGUGGAAACUGACAUAUAUUUAAUAUGUCAACGCUGGGACAUUUUGUAGACAUUAAGGGGAAUGCAAGUAUAUCUAUGUACACAAGAAAGCUUGUAGUCACUACUUUCAUGUUAAUUAUAAUAACUUGAAUCUGAAUAAAGAAUAUGAUCAAACCAAUAUUACCUUGCAAAACCAAGGCAAUGAUGCUUUAACAGUUAUAUUAAUAUAUAAAUCAUAAGAAAAAAGCUAAUAUAUGGUACAUGAAAGUUUGAAAUCCUCUCCCUCACUAUGGUGAAAACUUGCUCUUUUAGCAGAAUUUUAAUUAUAUGCGUUAUAGGAGAAAACAAUUUUUAAUAUAUAAGACAAUAAAAAAAGUUACCACCCGUUCUUACAUAUGCACUGUGCUAGUUGGAAACCAUUUAAACCAGAAGCAAUGUUUAUGUCCAUGAGCUAAGCAGUGAUAGAAAACAGGAAAAUAGUAGUUUUGAUGUCUGACAUUGCCUAUGUUCAAUGUGUAUUUUACACAGAGCAGGGUGAAUGGCUUGUAUUCUAGAAUAACUCAGUGUUUUUAGUGGGAGGGAUAGAAACAUGAAAAAUUGUAAUGCAGUGUGAUAACAUAUUUAAAUUAUGAAGAGCUGUAGAAAAACAAAG
This 1801-nucleotide long non-coding RNA is filed under the name Equus caballus (horse). RNAcentral's name for it is "lncRNA (ENSECAG00000050941.1)". Lineage: Eukaryota; Metazoa; Chordata; Mammalia; Perissodactyla; Equidae. The record is from RNAcentral.